This 187-nucleotide ribosomal RNA is filed under the name uncultured Bacteroidota bacterium. RNAcentral's name for it is "uncultured Bacteroidetes bacterium partial 16S ribosomal RNA". It matches the Rfam family "Bacterial small subunit ribosomal RNA", at positions 120 to 306 of the family's 1533-position model. Lineage: Bacteria; Pseudomonadati; Bacteroidota. The record is from RNAcentral.
UGCAACCUACCUUUUAUUGGGGGAUAGCCCGAAGAAAUUCGGAUUAAUACCGCAUGACACUAUUUGAGGGCAUCUGAGGAUAGUGAAAGCUGAGGCGAUAAAAGAUGGGCAUGCGUGUCAUUAGCUAGUUGGUUGAGGUAACGGCUCACCAAGGCGACGAUGACUAGGGGUUCUGAGAGGAUGAUCC